UAAUAUCUUUAUGUGUUCUUAUUACUCAGGUAAGCCAUUUUUUUUUUUUUUUUGGUAAGCCAUUUUUAUUGUGAGAAAAAUCAGAAGAUACAAAUACAUUCGAAGGGAAUAAAUCUCACAUCUUCCCUAUCUCCCAACCUUAGUUUAGUCUAUGUCUUUAAUUAAUUGGCCUAUUUCUAGAUCUAUGUGUUUUGGACAUGAGAUUUCUGCUAAGAUGGGUGAAGAUUUCGUUUAUUUACACAUUUCACCUCCCCGUUCCCAUCAUUUCAGUUUCUCACAUUAGUAUUUUCUUUCUUUAUAAGUUACCUUGGUGAUUCCAGGUAACUGAAAUAGACUUUUAGCCACUGUUUAUCAACUAUGGAAAGGUUAUCUUGGGCUUUCCUUCAGCAAUCUUCCCCUUUUCACUGACCAGCUUUUCAUCUGUAGUUUCCCUUAUGCAUUGUUAAGGUCAACAAUAUUUCCAGAUGCCAGCAGCCACUCCAUCUUCUAUGCUUUUUCCAUUUUGUGACUCAGCAUUCUCUCAAAUCUAAAAAUACUAAUACAUUCAUUUUAAAGCAAGUAUUUAUUGAAUUAGUUCUGUUUCCUCGGCUGUCAGUUCUUCUAUUUGUAGAUUGUUUUCUUUAGGUUUUGAUAAUCAUUGGUUGUUUGCUCACCUGCCUAUUGAAUGCUAGUUUUGUUUGCCAUAGCCUACCUCAAGUGACAGGUAGAAUCCAGGUAACUUGUCAGUCUGGAGUCAGGGAGGCAUCCACAAGCCACCACCUGUGUUCCACACAGAGUGCCUUGGAAGCCUGUGGAUAAAUGAGACAGUAGGCACUGCUGGGGCUGGGAUUCUAGAAUCAAGAAUGUGCUGACAGUAUGACUUGGGCUCAUUUUGAAUGCAGGAGCUAGAAACCAAGAAAGAUAGCUGGUGACAGGCAGGAAAGAACUUGACUGUGUAAAAGCAGAUAUAAACCACCAAAGAAGAUGAGCCCCAAAAACCUAUUAGGGACCUAUCUCAGGAAGACAGUAUUACAUCUCCUUCUAGCUACAGAAGGGCUUCAUGGCAUCAAACCCCAUGUCUGGAAGUUGUUAUUCAUUAAAUAUUUACUGGGCACAUACUUUAUGACAGGUGCUGUGCUCCUCUCUGGGGUUUAUACAAAAUUAGGACAUGUCCUUCACACGAGAAGCUCACCAUCUAUGGGAGAGGAAGACACAUGUUACAUACAGCAUGGUGUGAUGGAGUUUCUCUCUUGUCGCCCAGGCUGGAGUGCGACGCUACAAUCUGGCUCACUGCAACCACAGCCUCCUGUGUUCAACCGAUUCUCCAAAUUGCUGGGAUUGCAGAGGAUUUCAAAUGCAGGACGGUUCAACCACACAAUGUGAGCACCAUAACAACGCCACAGCGCCACAAUCCAGAAGGCAGGCCAUCCGUGAAAGCAAACUUUUUUGUCCAGAAAGCAGUGGUGCCUGAAGCUCAAUCAAGACGGCCUCACAGCCUUAUCAAACAGCUAGCAUGCUGGGACAGCGGGGCCAGGCAGAGGACAACUUUUAUUGGUAACAAUGUCAAGAAAUAUCAUUGAAAAAUAAACUUUUAAUAGACCUUUGCAAACAUGUGAAUUACAAAACCUACUUGAGAAAAAAACACAUGUGGAAGAGCAGGUUCUGGAAUAUUUAUCAGGCCAUGAAGACAAAAGUGACAAGAUCAGCAGAAAAGACAUUAGAUACUGGCCAUUACAAUAUGUUACAAAGAUACUUUACAACUGAUUUAUGAAUAUUCUACUUUAGUGACUUCUUUCAAAAGCAAAAUACAGUAAUUUAAAUUAAUUAACACAGCCACCAAAUUCCUGAGACAUACCAGCCACCAAUCUAGACGGUGGGGUGGAGGGGGUGAAAUGAGCAGACAGGCAUGCUUUCUGCCCGUACAGAGCUUACACUUCUCCAUCAAGAUGAGAACAUUGUACAUAGCAAGCACGCAGCAGAAAUUUUACUUGUUUUGCUCCAAUGUGAUCUAAAUAGUCUUUGGGGCAACUCAGAGGGGCAGUGCAGACUGACAGAGAGCUGUGGGCUCUUGAUCAAAUCACUUAAUAACGGUCUCUUUGUGUUUUAGUUUUCUUACCCCCGAAAUGUGAAUAUAAUAGUCUGCUCUGGCUACCGUAACAAGCAGCAUAGACUGCAUGGCCUAAACCACACACAUUUCUUCUCUCAGAGUUCUGGAGGCUGGAAGCCCACAUCAAGGUGCAGGCAGGAUUUGUUCCUUGCAAGGCCUCUCUCCUUGACUUGCAGAUGCUGUCUGCUUCCUGUGUGUCUUCAGAAGAUCUUCCCUCUGAGGGUGUCUGCGUUUCAAUCUCUUCUUCUUGUAAGGACACCAGUCAGACUGGAUGAGGGCCCACCCCAGUGACCUCAUUUUAACGUAAUCACCUCUGUAAAUGCUCUACCUCCAAGCACAGUUACAUUCUGAGGUCCUGGGGGUAGGAACUUCAUAUGAAUUUCAGGGAAGCACAGUCUGGCCCAUGACAGGCACUGGCAUUCAGCUGAUGCUAUAAAGCACCAGCUUUAUAAAGAAAGCUAUAAAGGCCCAACAUACCUACCCAGUGAUGUGGCACAGACCAUACACCCAAUAUAUGCCCAUUUAAUUUGCAAUAGUCAAGACGCAUAGUCCUGAUAGUGACUGUUGUCCAGCAUGGUUUUUAAUGGCAAAGCAUCAUCAUCUGUAAUAUGAUUUUUAUGGAAAAUGGAACUAGGACUCUGAAUUGGGGUGCCAAGAAUCUACCCCACUGCCUCCCAGCCCACUUGCAUGCCCAAGCAGAGAGAAACUUUUUCUCUUUUUCUACAGAAUGAAGAGGCCCCUGUGUCUCCAGUGGGGGAGAGGGGCUGAGGUUAGGUAAUGAAGAUUUUGGAUAAGAAAUGUAACCCCAGUGACAGGUCAGGGCCUCAGAACAGCAGUUAAUAGGUCUCGCUCGACAGGUUGGAGGGGGAGCUGUGUGGGAAAGACGUCAAUGAGACCAAGUUGCUGGGUUGCUGAGAAACAGCCCAUUUCUUCACUGCACCCUGUUCCUGCCCAAUGGCCAGAGCCAGGGUCAUCUAGAACAGAAGUUAUGGGAGAUCCUGAAUGCUGGCAUAGGAAGAUUUAAUGUGCUCAGCCCUACUGACUGCUAAGGAUACCUGAGCCAGAAAGCUGUGGCCUGUGGGAGGGAGGGAAAAGGUGGCUGGACAAGGUGUCUCAGCGAUAGGAGCAGGGAGUGGGAAGAGAAAAAUGCACCAAGAGUGCUGGUGACCUUUCUGUGUGAGGAUAAUUAAGUAAAGUGCCACCCCAGAGUCAGGAGAGCCUUUACAUGGGGCAGGCUCAGGGGACUCGGCGAUCCCCCGUCCUUCUCCCCUUUUCUGGACUUUACCUGGAGCUUGUGACCCAGCCAGGUGGCAGCCUGGACAUCUCAAAGGGAAGGUUUCUGCUGCAAAACGAACAGGAAUUCAUGUGUGUCUGUGAGGUGGGAGCACUGUGUCCUGAUCAAGGGCAAGUACCUGAGUGGUCCAGGCUCUAAGUGACCACCUCUCUCUAAUUCGAAGGCAAAUCCAUUACUUUGUAGGUAAAGAGGCGGCACAGGGAUCCCAGUUUCCUUUGAUUCUCUGUAUUUUUUCUACAUGUCUCCACUUCAUUACCUCAUCUUUCACUAAAGUAAAACUACCUACUGCUUCCAGUUGUAACAGAAGCACAAUUUGAACUCCAAUGUUUAUUUUAACAGGGUAACAUGAUGUUUUUCUCAUGGACUUUUACAUAUUUUCUCAACAAGACAGGCAAAUCCUCAUACGUACUUUUCAGACUCAGGCUGUCUUUAGCUACCAUAACUAAACCACAGCCAACCAGGACAUGGUAGAUGGAAGCCCCCAUCAUCCAGGGCCCCUGCUCACCUGUCUUUCUAUGCCGCAUUUUGGAAGAGCAGUUGCUAGCACGUCCCUGGAGCCUCCUCACCUUGGCGUCAACAGUGAACUCCAAAGCAGGCUGCAGGCCAGGUAGAUCCUUCAGAGGGAUGUGAGGUAGGUGGGCCUCACCCAUGCAGAACACCCAGACGGUUUCAACGCCUCCCAUUCCUGCCCUUACUGAGGCAUGAUGUGUGGCUUUGUGUUUUAGCAAGACUUGGGACAACAGAUCAAAUGAUGUGUUUUUCUUCCAAGUUAAUCAUAAAUCCUACUGCACAGAAUUUACCUGGUUUUGAGCAUUCUGGUUGGAGGUGUCACAGCAGCGUGCUUUGGAUAAAUCAUAUUGUGAUGAUCAUAUCUAGAAUGCGACCAUUACAAAACCUUCUAACGACUGGCACGCUGUAUAUUAGAUGAAGCAGCAUUUUCUCACCAAGUAAUGACUUUAUCUACAGCUUGUUCAAUAAUGCAUAAACUGCUACAUCUUUGCACGAAAAAGGAUGAAGGAAUGAAAGUUACUGUAAAAAAAAAAAGCAAGAUUCUGUUUGAUCAGACAUGCUCAGCAGUAAGCAGGAUUUUAACUCUUACAUUGAAGAACAGGCUCUGAGAGCAUCUCAAGCUCUUUAAAUCUAUCACCAAAUUAUGGUGUUUAAGUUCUAGAAGAAUCCUUAGAGGUCUGAUGGUAUCUUAAUUGGUUCAGGCACCUAAAGCAAAAUACCAUAAACCAAGUGACUUAUAAACAGCAGACAUUUAUUUCUCACAGUUCCGGAGGCUGCAAGUCCCAGAUCAGUGUCCCAGGAAACGUGGUGUCUGGUGAGGGCCCACUUCCUAGUUCAUAAUGGUCCCUCCUUGCUGUGUCCUCACAUGGCAGCAGCAGUGAGGGAGCUCUCUGAGAUCUCUUUUAGGUCACGAAUCCCAUUCAUGAGGGCAUCACCCUCAUGACAUAAUCACCUCCCAAUACCAUCACAUUAAGGAUUAGCACUUCAACAUAUGAAUGUGGGGAACACAAUCCACAGCAGCUUGGCCAGUUGUUCUCAGGCUGCUGCUGCGGGAAAUGAGUCCUGGGGUCCCAUGUGUGAGGGGCCCAGGGAACUGGGUGGGACAGGAGACCCUGUACCCCCAGGACCUCCAGCAGCUGCAACAUUGUUUGCUUUACACAGGGGCCCUGGGUGCUUGACAAUGUGCUCCACAGACAAGACAAGUGACAGAGGCUUGGAGAGCAUGAGUAUUUGCCUGCAGUCUCCCAGGCCAGUCAGCACCCAGUUGGAGAGCAAGGAGCAAAGCUCCUGAGCACACAGCUGCUGGAGAUGACCGGUAAGGAGUGUGAUCAAGCUCCUUAUCCAAGCCACCUCCACCACAGGGGCCACGUUAAAGACCAGCCACAAAUUGUGCUGUGCCUUUAUCUGCGUUUAAUAACAAUAAAACAACAUGUGAACUGUAGGUAAUAAUAUUUCUUAGUGAGCAGAUAGAUAGUAUAAUUUUAAGUGGCAAAUAGCUGAGUUGGAUUUAAAGGUAAACCGUAAGUUUCUGCUUUUGUGGUGAUUCUGCAGCAUCAAGCUAUUGGAUCUCUGAUCUCAAGUCAUAUUUUUAUUGAUGAUAAUAAGCACGUUUUAACUUUCCUGAAUAAAAUUACAUACAUUAAAGAUUGGAUUCUAAUAAA
This is a long non-coding RNA of Callithrix jacchus (white-tufted-ear marmoset), 5551 nucleotides long. RefSeq lists it as uncharacterized. The record is from RefSeq and is a predicted model, not a curated record. NCBI's taxonomy places the organism in Eukaryota, Metazoa, Chordata, Mammalia, Primates, Cebidae.